RNAcentral lists this ribosomal RNA (496 nucleotides) under uncultured bacterium. Its description in RNAcentral is "partial 16S ribosomal RNA". It matches the Rfam family "Bacterial small subunit ribosomal RNA", at positions 29 to 507 of the family's 1533-position model. The record is from RNAcentral.
AUGAACGCUGGCGGCGUGCCUAAUACAUGCAAGUCGCGCGCACAGACGAGGAGCUUGCUCCUCUGACGUUAGCGGCGGACGGGUGAGUAACACGUGGAUAACCUACCUAUAAGACUGGGAUAACUUCGGGAAACCGGAGCUAAUACCGGAUAAUAUAUUGAACCGCAUGGUUCAAUAGUGAAAGACGGUUUUGCUGUCACUUAUAGAUGGAUCCGCGCCGCAUUAGCUAGUUGGUAAGGUAACGGCUUACCAAGGCAACGAUGCGUAGCCGACCUGAGAGGGUGAUCGGCCACACUGGAACUGAGACACGGUCCAGACUCCUACGGGAGGCAGCAGUAGGGAAUCUUCCGCAAUGGGCGAAAGCUUGACGGAGCAACGCCGCGUGAGUGAUGAAGGUCUUCGGAUCGUAAAACUCUGUUAUUAGGGAAGAACAAAUGUGUAAGUAACUAUGCACGUCUUGACGGUACCUAAUCAGAAAGCCACGGCUAACUACGUG